RNAcentral lists this ribosomal RNA (653 nucleotides) under uncultured bacterium. Its description in RNAcentral is "bacterial SSU rRNA". It matches the Rfam family "Bacterial small subunit ribosomal RNA", at positions 202 to 842 of the family's 1533-position model. The record is from RNAcentral.
AAAAGGUGGCUAUGCUACCGCUUUUGGAUGGGCCCGCGGCGCAUUAGCUAGUUGGUGGGGUAAAGGCUUACCAAGGCAAUGAUGCGUAGCCGAACUGAGAGGUUGAUCGGCCACAUUGGGACUGAGACACGACCCAAACUCCUACGGGAGGCAGCAGUAGGGAAUCUUCCACAAUGGGCGAAAGCCUGAUGGAGCAACGCCGCGUGGGUGAAGAAGGUCUUCGGAUCGUAAAACCCUGUUGUUAGAGAAGAAAGUGCGUGAGAGUAACUGUUCACGUUUCGACGGUAUCUAACCAGAAAGCCACGGCUAACUACGUGCCAGCAGCCGCGGUAAUACGUAGGUGGCAAGCGUUAUCCGGAUUUAUUGGGCGUAAAGGGAACGCAGGCGGUCUUUUAAGUCUGAUGUGAAAGCCUUCGGCCUAACCGGAGUAGUGCAUUGGAAACUGGGAGACUUGAGUGCAGAAGAGGAGAGUGGAACUCCAUGUGUAGCGGUGAAAUGCGUAGAUAUAUGGAAGAACACCAGUGGCGAAAGCGGCUCUCUGGUCUGUAACUGACGCUGAGGUUCGAAAGCGUGGGUAGCAAACAGGAUUAGAUACCCUGGUAGUCCACGCCGUAAACGAUGAAUGCUAAGUGUUGGAGGGUUUCCGCCCUUCA